Molecule: long non-coding RNA, 1513 nt
Organism: Oreochromis niloticus (Nile tilapia)
Lineage: Eukaryota; Metazoa; Chordata; Actinopteri; Cichliformes; Cichlidae
Exons: 4
Source: RefSeq, a predicted model, not a curated record
UCCAAAGUGUUCAAAAUUAAAUAAAUAAAUAGGUCAUGAUGAAAUAAAUAACUAUGUGAAUAAAUAAGACACAGGUAUGUAAUGUGAGAAUGAUAUUGUGAAAUAAUGGAACACAUUUUGAAAAAAAUGCUCAUUAUUGUGAAAUAUAUUACAUUCUGCUAUAUAAAUUUAAUUAUUAUUGUGAAAUAUUAUUUCAUGGUCAUUAUUUUUCACAAUAACAGAGAUUAUUCCUGAGCCAUUUUAUUUAUUUCCAGCCGUUUUUAUUCCAAAAUGACCUUUUUUCAAAGUCAGUCUUUAUUUCAAAAUCCCGUUUUUCCCGAUGGCCUAUUUAUUUCAUAAUGCGACUUUUCAGCAGAAUGACUUUGUCUGUCAAUCAAUGUAAGUGGGUUGGACCUUUGCACCUAUUGGCUUAUCGUUUACCAUCGACUAGUUUUCCUGGAUACCUGCUCGGCGGACGGCUGCUACAGCUAGCGACAGCGUGCUAGGUCAAAAGUCACGGAGAAUGGCGGACUGGUGUGAACUUCAGUUAAUUCUGCUCAUUUUAGCAGAUCAGAUAGAGAGGGAUCAUUUACCAGUAGAUACUGUUCUGAGUCGUUUAGAUGAUGUUUCUUAAAUGCUUGGGAUGAUAAUUGCUCUUCAAGAUGUUAGCAUCGAUGACAACAUUGUCGAAGGUUUAAGAUCAAUUCAGCACCGUGUUCGUUUGGAAUACGCUGAGGAAGAACAGUCUUCAAAUAUUGGUCGUCCACGUCUUGAAAUCCCGGCUGCAGCACUCGGGACUUUAGUGCUGUCCGGGAUAACCAUCGGGGUAAUUGCCGAUAUGUUUUCCGUGUCUCCGAGCACAAUUAGGAGGAAAAUGACGGAGGAAGGUCUAAGAAAAUCUGAUAGGAAUUCUUCUGUUGGAGAUGUGGAUUUGGAUUCAAAAGUGCUGGACAUUCAGCGUCAUCACCCAAAUGUCGACUGCAGAAUGAUGAUGGGACAUCUACGAUCCAGAGGCAUACACAUUCAAAGAUUUCGACUGAUGGAUUCAAUGAGACGAGUCAAUCCAGAAGGGGUCAAGAUGCGACGGUUAUCUAUUAAGACUGCAAGGCGUUCUCAGUACAGUGUACCAGCAGCAAAUCACCUUUGGCAUAUAGAUGGAAAUCAGCAUUGAGCGCCUGUGGAGGGAUGUAUAUGAAAACAUCUUCACCCAGCUGGAGAUUCAAGGACUGCUCAACCCCGGUGAAAAAAUUCACUUGUUUGCACUGCACAGAUGCUUUUUGCAUCACAUUCAACAUCAUCUUCAGUCAUUCCAGGAAGCAUGGAAUCAGCACGGACUCAGAAAAGCAAACAACCAUUCAUCCCUGCACCUCUGGUUGCUGCACAGAAAGGACGGACAAGAUUUGUCACAGGUUGAUGAGGAUUAUGGUGUGGACUGGACAGGACCACAUAAUCACCGCCCAUCAAAUGAGAUCACCAUUCCUGAGAUUCAGCUCCCACGUGCACUGAAUGAACGAGACCCUGCUGUGCUACCAAA